Molecule: non-coding RNA, 365 nt
Organism: Scophthalmus maximus (turbot)
Lineage: Eukaryota; Metazoa; Chordata; Actinopteri; Pleuronectiformes; Scophthalmidae
Source: Ensembl
CUUGUUCAUAGUGUGAAAGGUUUGUGUUUGGAGUGUGUGAGUGUGGAGUGUGUGGCGACUGCUUGAGAGAGUGUAUGGUGUUUGUGUGAGUGUUCGAGUGAAUGUGUUUCUGUAAAAAAAAAAAUCUACACAGUGAUCUUAUUUGAUCCGGUCAGAGUUCGGCUCUGCUCCGAUCGGAGAUGAUAGGAAAAACGCUCGCGAGCCUCCGAGGCGAUGAAGCGAGACGUGAAAGCUCCAGGGCCUUCCACUGCUUCGUGCUGUGGUGAGAGGUGAUGAUUUGAUCAGAUAUACUAGUUCUGGGCCGAGUCCGAGGUUCUCCUCGGGCUUCGCACGGGACAAUGAGUAUAGAGGCGAUUCUGAUCUGA